GCGGACAUGGCGAAAUUGGCAGACGCGCAGGACUUAGAAUCCUGUGGGAAACCGUGCAGGUUCAAGUCCUGUUGUCCGCACCA
RNAcentral lists this transfer RNA (83 nucleotides) under Clostridia bacterium. RNAcentral describes it as "tRNA-Leu". It matches the Rfam family "tRNA". From Rfam's summary of the family: Transfer RNA (tRNA) molecules are approximately 80 nucleotides in length. The record is from RNAcentral. Lineage: Bacteria; Bacillati; Bacillota; Clostridia.